UCAAAAUCUACGAAGAGACAUGGCAGAAGAAAUUCUCAAAGGAUCAGUUUCAAAGGAUGACUUCUGUUCCUUCUGUGGAAUUGAGGACCUGCCCACAACUGCUGUUGAUGCUGUUUGGAUUCAGUGUGAAACUUGUGGAAGAUGGUUUCACACGCAGUGCCUCGGAAUGACUGCUGCACUAAUACCAACAAAAGAUACCCUGUGGUAUUGUGUGUUGUGUAUCAUCCCUAACUAAAGAGGCUAUGUAAGAGUUUGUGUAACUUUUACCAGAGGUACCAGGAUUUGGGGAGGUAAGGCUUGUUAGAACUACUACCACAAUAGAACUAGUGCGCUUAUAAACGGCAUGUGGGGGAAAAUCCAGCCCAGCCAGUGAUUUUAAAUCGGCAAAAUGAAAGCUGAAUUUUGUACAAAACAAACAAAAAUCCAGAAAAAAGCUUUGCUAAAGAUUUUGCGCAACUGAAGUAAUGAUUAAUAAUCACCUGUCCAUAGUUUUAAAUUAUUAUAAAACUUAAUUAAGAUGUUAAAUAUAUUUUCCCUUACAGAUUAAAUUAGUCACAG
This is a long non-coding RNA of Trematomus bernacchii (emerald rockcod), 558 nucleotides long. RefSeq lists it as uncharacterized. NCBI's taxonomy places the organism in Eukaryota, Metazoa, Chordata, Actinopteri, Perciformes, Nototheniidae. The transcript has 3 exons. The record is from RefSeq and is a predicted model, not a curated record.